UACAUGUGGGGCAAGCGUUGUUCGGAAUUACUGGGCAUAAAGGGUGCGUAGGCGGCUUGUUAAGUCAGGGGUGAAAGCUUUCGGCUCAACCGGAAAAUUGCCUUUGAUACUGGCGAGCUCGAGUGCGUGAGGGGUAACCGGAACGAGUGGUGUAGCGGUGAAAUGCGUAGAUAUCACUCGGAAGGCCAAAGGCGAAGGCAGGUUACUGGUACGCAACUGACGCUGAGGCACGAAAGCGUGGGGAGCAAACAGG
This 253-nucleotide ribosomal RNA is filed under the name uncultured bacterium. Its description in RNAcentral is "partial 16S ribosomal RNA". It matches the Rfam family "Bacterial small subunit ribosomal RNA", at positions 524 to 776 of the family's 1533-position model. The record is from RNAcentral.